GGUCUGGUAGCACAACGGCUAGUGCCUCUGCUCCCAUUGGCGGCCAUAUACACAAUCUUCUGCAGAAGAUCCCCGUUCGAUUCGGGGUCAGGCCU
Molecule: non-coding RNA, 95 nt
Organism: Mycena rosella
Lineage: Eukaryota; Fungi; Basidiomycota; Agaricomycetes; Agaricales; Mycenaceae
Source: the annotation of a GenBank genome assembly